UCUCUAGAAGAUGUAGC
Molecule: small RNA, 17 nt
Filed under: Arabidopsis thaliana (thale cress)
Lineage: Eukaryota; Viridiplantae; Streptophyta; Magnoliopsida; Brassicales; Brassicaceae
Description: ATSL294040
Source: RNAcentral